CACAAACCUGGGAAACUCGUAAACUAAAAUCUACCUGUAUCAACUUAAAUAGUCCAUAUUUUAAGUAUAUAGAAGUAAAGAAUAUAGAAGUGUAAUGUAAUGGAAUAUAGAAGUAAGGAAGAUGGAAAAUCAGCAGAAAAUGCUAAAAUCAUAAUAAAACUAAACUUAAAUUUUUAAAGUUGAUAUUUAACACAUUGUUGUAUGGCUAGGGAUGAAGCAGAGUCAAAUUUAGGUCAUUGCAGCAAACCAGUGCUUUACAGUGUUUUUUUGAUCUGUUUUGUUAUUUUACAUAAACUAGUCUGGUUAUUUUUCAUUGAAAAUAAGUUUGUUUUUUUUUGUUUUUUUCUUCUUAAAAAUCAAGAACAUUUAUUUCAUAUAAUUGGAACAGAAAUUAAUUUUCUACUAUAAU
This 409-nucleotide long non-coding RNA is filed under the name Androctonus crassicauda. The record is from RNAcentral. Lineage: Eukaryota; Metazoa; Arthropoda; Arachnida; Scorpiones; Buthidae.